RNAcentral lists this ribosomal RNA (301 nucleotides) under uncultured bacterium. RNAcentral's name for it is "partial 16S ribosomal RNA". It matches the Rfam family "Bacterial small subunit ribosomal RNA", at positions 509 to 807 of the family's 1533-position model. The record is from RNAcentral.
CAGCAGCCACGGGAAUACGAAGGGGGCUAGCGUUGCUCGGAAUGACUGGGCGUAAAGGGCGCGUAGGCGGUUCGUACAGUCAGAUGUGAAAUUCCCGGGCUCAACCUGGGGACUGCAUUUGAUACGUGCGGACUUGAGUUCGGAAGAGGGUCGUGGAAUUUCCAGUGUAGAGGUGAAAUUCGUAGAUAUUGGGAAGAACACCGGUGGCGAAGGCGGCGACCUGGUCCGAUACUGACGCUGAGGCGCGAAAGCGUGGGGAGCAAACAGGAUUAGAUACCCCAGUAGUCCCUGUCUCUUAUAC